RNAcentral lists this ribosomal RNA (436 nucleotides) under uncultured bacterium. RNAcentral describes it as "bacterial SSU rRNA". It matches the Rfam family "Bacterial small subunit ribosomal RNA", at positions 29 to 508 of the family's 1533-position model. The record is from RNAcentral.
AGCGAACGCUGGCGGCAGGCCUAACACAUGCAAGUCGAGCGGACGUAGCAAUACGUCAGCGGCAGACGGGAGAGUAACACGUGGGAACGCGCCCUUCGGUUCGGGAUAACUCAGGGAAACUUGGGCUAAUACCGGAUACGCCCUUACGGGGAAAGAUUCAUUGCCGAAGGAACGGCCCGCGUCCGAUUAGCUUGUUGGUGAGGUAACGGCUCACCAAGGCGACGAUCGGUAGCUGGUCUGAGAGGAUGACCAGCCUCACUGGGACUGAGACACGGCCCAGACUCCUACGGGAGGCAGCAGUGGGGAAUAUUGGACAAUGGGCGCAAGCCUGAUCCAGCCAUGCCGCGUGGGUGAUGAAGGCCCUAGGGUUGUAAAGCCCUUUCGGCGGGGAAGAUAAUGACGGUACCCGCAGAAGAAGCCCCGGCUAACUUCGUGC